RNAcentral lists this ribosomal RNA (301 nucleotides) under uncultured bacterium. Its description in RNAcentral is "partial 16S ribosomal RNA". It matches the Rfam family "Bacterial small subunit ribosomal RNA", at positions 509 to 807 of the family's 1533-position model. The record is from RNAcentral.
CAGUAGCCGCGGUAAUACGGAGGGGGCUAGCGUUGUUCGGAAUUACUGGGCGUAAAGCGCGCGUAGGCGGUUACUCAAGUCAGAGGUGAAAGCCCGGGGCUCAACCCCGGAACUGCCUUUGAAACUAGGUGACUAGAAUCUUGGAGAGGUCAGUGGAAUUCCGAGUGUAGAGGUGAAAUUCGUAGAUAUUCGGAAGAACACCAGUGGCGAAGGCGACUGACUGGACAAGUAUUGACGCUGAGGUGCGAAAGCGUGGGGAGCAAACAGGAUUAGAUACCCCCGUAGUCCCUGUCUCUUAUAC